RNAcentral lists this ribosomal RNA (251 nucleotides) under uncultured bacterium. RNAcentral describes it as "partial 16S ribosomal RNA". It matches the Rfam family "Bacterial small subunit ribosomal RNA", at positions 524 to 776 of the family's 1533-position model. The record is from RNAcentral.
UACGUAGGGUGCAAGCGUUAAUCGGAAUUACUGGGCGUAAAGCGUGCGCAGGCGGUGAUGUAAGACAGAUGUGAAAUCCCGGCUCAACCUGGGAACUGCAUUUGUGACUGCAUCGCUGGAGUACGGCAGAGGGGGAUGGAAUUCCGCGUGUAGCAGUGAAAUGCGUAGAUAUGCGGAGGAACACCGAUGGCGAAGGCAAUCCCCUGGGCCUGUACUGACGCUCAUGCACGAAAGCGUGGGGAGCAAACAGG